RNAcentral lists this ribosomal RNA (421 nucleotides) under Verrucomicrobiota bacterium. Its description in RNAcentral is "Verrucomicrobia bacterium partial 16S ribosomal RNA". It matches the Rfam family "Bacterial small subunit ribosomal RNA", at positions 355 to 776 of the family's 1533-position model. The record is from RNAcentral. Lineage: Bacteria; Pseudomonadati; Verrucomicrobiota.
UGGGGAAUUUUGCACAAUGGGCGCAAGCCUGAUGCAGCGACGCCGCGUGAGGGAUGAAGGCCUUCGGGUUGUAAACCUUUUUCGCUCAUGGUCAAGCCGCAGCUUUGGGUUGUGGUGAGGGUAGUGGGUAAAGAAGCGCCGGCUAACUACGUGCCAGCAGCCGCGGUAAUACGUAGGUCCCGAGCGUUGUCCGGAUUUAUUGGGCGUAAAGCGAGCGCAGGCGGUUAGAAAAGUCUGAAGUGAAAGGCAGUGGCUCAACCAUUGUAGGCUUUGGAAACUGUUUAACUUGAGUGCAGAAGGGGAGAGUGGAAUUCCAUGUGUAGCGGUGAAAUGCGUAGAUAUUCGGAGGAAUACCGGUGGCGAAGGCGACUUUCUGGCCAUAAUCUGACGCUGAGGUACGAAAGCGUGGGUAGCAAACAGG